This 33754-nucleotide long non-coding RNA is filed under the name Glycine max (soybean). RNAcentral's name for it is "long non-coding RNA (GMAX_LNC002869)". The record is from RNAcentral. Lineage: Eukaryota; Viridiplantae; Streptophyta; Magnoliopsida; Fabales; Fabaceae.
UUAUUUUGGUACAGACAACACAGUACAGACCACGUACUACUUUUUUAUUACACAAAUUAUAACACUGAAGACCAUUUUCUUUCAUUUGAGUAAACUAUAUUACAUAUUUUCCAACAUAAUUCCUUAAUCACCACCGCCUUGACCGUAACCCUCACCAUGGCCAUAGCCCUCACCAUGACCAUAGCCUGAGCCACCGCCACCACCACCGCCUCCGCCACCGCCACCGCCACCUCCCCUUCCUUGACUUCUUCCAGAUCCUGAUCCGGCACGAGAGCCAGCAUAUGAACCGGCUUCGGAGCCAGCUCCGGAGCCGCCAGAGCCAGAACUGGAAGAUGAGGAAGCUGAACUUGAGGCAGAACUGGAACUAGAACCAGAACCAGAACCAGAACCAGACCCUGCUCCGGCACCAGCUCCAGAGCCACUGCCACCUCCUAUCCCCAGGCCCAAACCCAGUCCAAGUCCAACCCCCAACCCACCAAGGUCCAGGCCCAAGUCCUUCCUUGCCACUCUACUCUCUGAUACAAUAGUUGACAUAAAAAGAAGCAAUGCAAGUAGAUAACAUGACCAAGAUGUUGCCAUUUUGUGUGCAAUGUAGGUUUGAAAAGUAGGUAAAGAAGCUCAAGUAGUAUUAUAGCUGAACAAACUAUGCAGGGUGGUGUAGUAGUGAUAUCUCUAACUAUACUACAACACCCUUGCUAGCUAGCUACUCUGAAGAGGCCUUAUAGGGUUUACUAGUAUUUAUAGUUGCUGAAUGUUGAUGUUGAUGCUUUGGUUAGUGGCAGUGUAGAGUGCGGAUCAUGGUGUGAACUAGUGAAUAGGUUAUUUUAUCUUUGAGGCUAGAAAGUGGGAAUGAUGGCGUGGCAUUCUUGGAUUUUUGAUGGGCAAAAGCUUGUGGUUGAAAUGGCUUCUGCGCCUUGCACAUCACAUGAUUUAGGACACAAGUGCCAUAUGCAAUACCUACCCAUAAUGCCCACUACUCUCACCAUAGUGGAGGAUAUGAAAGGCUGUUUUGUUGUUGACUAUGGUGUUUUUGCUCCAUAAAAUUUAGUUUUAUAUUGAUGAUUUUUUGUGCGGCCAGCUCAUGGCCGGUUAUGGGUGAGGUAGGGCUUUUGUUUGCUCCAAGUGUCUUUCUCCUAAUUUUCCUGUGAGGAAUGAUACAUGCACAUCCAUUUAUUUUAAAUAUCUCAUUAAUAUUUUUUUCCAACCAUAUCCUAAAUUUUAUAACACUUAUAUUUUUCUCUCUUUAAGUAUCUUAUAGGAUAAUACGUGUUGAUGGAACAUUUUUCUUAUGGUAUAUGGUACUAUGGUAUAGUGUCAGGGUGAUAUAUGAGAUCAUUUUUUUGUCAAUGUGAUAUCCAAUUUCCUAAGACUGGUUUUCUCCUCAGAGUGACAUACUCAAUGGGGACAACAAAAUCAAUGUCCAAAUUCUUCUGGUGGAUUCAUUAGUCGUUAUUGGUCAUACGUAGUUUUAUUUCUGGAGUGCAACCACAUGUAGUUUCAUAAUUGAAUAUGUUAUAAGUUGUGAUUCUUUCUAUUUUUACUUUUUGAACGAGUGGUAGAAGCAAUCUUAAUAUGUUGCCAGUAAGAGAAAUCACGUUCUUAUCUUUCCUAUCCAAACCAAACGCAAGCGCUUUGGACACUCCAAUAUAUUACAAAUACGUAUGCAUCACUUCAAAUUAGUUUUUUUUUCUCUUAUUAUUAUGUUAAAUUAAUUUUUUUUUCUCUCAUUUAUUAUUUAGAUUUAAUUUGAUCUUUUAAUUUUUUUUAUUUAAUUUGAUUUUUUUUAUUUUUAAAAUUGAUUUAAUUUACUUCUUUAGUUUUUUUUUUCAAUUUAAUUCUCUAAUUUUGAAAAUUAAUUAUUUUUUUUUGAAAAAUAUGUAUUUUGUGAUUAUUUAAAAUUAUUUAAUGACAAUUUUAAACCGUUACAUAAUGUGAUUUUUUAAUUUAAAAAAUUAAGAGAUCAAAUUGAAUAAAAAAUAUUAAAAAACCAAAUUAAAUCUAAAAGAUAAAUUAGAAAUCUAAAAAGUAAUUUAAUCGAUAAAUUACUAACACGAUAAAAAGUGAAAACUAUAAGAAAUUAAUGUGAUAACUUCACGUGCUUCUAAUUAAUUUAGUGGGUUAUGGAUAAAAAGUGAAAACUAUAAGAAAUCAACUAUUGUAUUAAGAAUAUAAUUAAGCGGAAGGGAAUUAGGAACGUACGCAUAUUUAGCGAUCUAUGGCUUUGUUUUUUUUUGAGAAGUAGUGACCCAUUGCUAUCUUAUUCUGAAAGCAUACUAACAUUUAUUAUUAAGUUAUAAACCACUCCAACACUAAUUAAGUAUAUAUGUUCUCCGCAUAUCAAAAGCAAUGGAAAAAUAGUACAGUAAUCGGGGUUAUUAUAGAUAAUAACUUAAUAAGAUCGACAAAUAAACAAACUAGUGUAGUGAUUUCAUGAAUAACAACUUUAUAAGUAUGAGUAAUAUGAUAACUAUAAAAAUAAAUUCAUAUAUUCACGAACAAGUUUAGUUUAAAUUCAAUUGAAUAAUUUAAAACUUAGAUUUGAAAUUUGGUUCAAUCUAAAAAAAUGAUUUUUUUCAAGUGAUCUCGGUUUUGAAAAGUCUAGUUUUUUGCUUUUCAAUCUACUUUUUAAUUUUUACAGUUUGUUUUGAAUUAUUUUGAUUCGUGACGAUACUCCUUAAUAGUAUUUUCUCUAAGUAAAUAUGUUUAAUUGUAAUUUUAGUCUACCUAUUAUGAUUAAUGACUUAUUAUUAAGAAUCAAAUAUAAACUAUCAAAUUUUCAAUUUUUACAAUUAAAAUUUUCCGUCACUUUUUCUUUUCUUAAAACCUAUUAUUCUUACUUUUUUUUACUCAAAUAAUUAGGUCUCUAGGAUGAAUUUAAGAUAAAAAUUAUUUUAAAAGUUUAAAACUCAAACUUUUAAUUGUCUUUAAAAGUUAAUUACAAUAUAUAAGUUUUAAAAUUUUAAAUAAAAUCAUAUUUUAAUUACUAAAUUUUGACCAAUAAAUAUUUAAAAUGUUUAUUAGAUUUGUGGCUUCACAAUAUUGCUUACGGAACUCUACUCGUUGAGUUUUGAGAUCAAAUCCGUUUUUCUGGUAGAUCACUGUUCUUAGGUUGGUUACUUCUUGGGCUUAGGCCCAUUUCUGAUAACUUGACAUAAUGCUUUGCAGUUUGCAGUCGAAGCAAAACACCCUAUAUCGAUGGCUAUUGCAUCCUGCAAUUAUUGCAUAAGUAUCGAAUGAGUUUUCUGAAAUAUGAGAGAUAUAGGAUACAAUAGUAAAAGUGCAGGAUGCCUAAUCCAUAUAUGAUCAAAUUACCUGCGAAGAGGAUGGAAAAUGAAAUAAACAUCCUGCAUGUUAGUGUUAAUAAAGCAUAUAAAUUUUGUUAAUUUAUAAAAGAAAAGAGUCAAUAGUAUAAUACAAAGUAUUAUUUAAAUAGAGUUUAUUAAUUUAAAUUUGUGUGCCUAUUUUUCAUAACAUGACAUUGUCAUAUUCUUUAAUAUAUAGGAGGAUCCUGACCAUCAAAAAAAUACAAAUGCCUUCACUUUGAUUUUGUGAACAGAAAUUAAUACAAAGAACUAGCCACUUAAUUAUAAAAAAUUCAAAGAUGCCAAAGGGUAGGGCACCACACAAGAUCUCAUACUAAAAGGAGAGACACGACCAACCUAUAUCCAACUAUCACUAACCAACUUUCCAUAUGGCAUUUAUUUUAUACUCUGAAUCAUGAAUUGAAUGCUUACAAAAUGGACACCACUACACACAGAGUCUUAGAUAUAUAAGGAUCAAACUGUUAGUCUCCUUAUUACCGAUUUUUAGAAUGAAACCAUCCUUUAAAAGUUUUCAGGGCCUUGACCAUGGCACUUUACGUUAGCCACCCCUACCAGCUAGAGUAAGCUGCGAAGAUAUUGCCCUCUUAAAUGUAUUUACCUUUUAACACCAACACCCAAAGAUGAUUAGAAAUCUGUAAAAUAUCUCAAACAAGUUUUCCAAGUAAAGUUGUAUUAUGGUGCCUAGCAUUCCUUCUUACUCUUAGCCCACAAUGCUUCCUUUAGUUUAAUCACUUAUGUCCACCUAACCAUAUGAAUCCCUUUAAUGAUGUUGGUCCUUUAAUAUAAACCUCCUCACACUCCAAUCAAUAUAGUCACAAACAUAUUGGGAUACCAAAUAGUUUGUAUGCCAUAACACGGAAUAACUGAGAAUAAUGUUGGCAAGAAUAAGUCUCCCGGGUAUGUUUGAAAGGUUACUCUUCCAUGUGGCUAAUUUGGAAUUUAUGCACUCCGCAAUAUGGUUGAAAUCUAAUAUUUGGAUUCCCUCAUGCAUUAUAUUAAACCCCAAAUUGUUCGUGAUCAACCUUAUUUGGGUAGCAUUAUUUAAAAUCUCUUUUUCAUGUCUUGUCACUUCUCUAGAUGCAUAACACUUUGAUUUCUCCAUACUAACCUGAAAUAGAACUCGAAAAUGUUAAAAGAUUAGGGAUGUCUGAGAAGGCUUGGCCAUAACAAAUGGCAACACAUCAUCUGCAAAGAACAAAUGCCGAAUCUUAGGCUCAUUCUUUGCCAUUUAUAUUGAUUGCUAUCUCUCCCUUUGAACUUUCUAUGAUAUCAUAACCACCCGUCUUUCCAUACAAAUUACAAAAUAAAUAGGAAGAUAAAGGAUCACAUUGACGAAGUCUACAAACCAGACUAAAUGUAUUUAUCCUACUCAUAUUCCAAAGAUUAUUGUCUUGCAAAGAAAAUCCCAAUUCACUCAAUCAUACAUCAGUUUUAUUGGCCCGUGUCACACCUUUACUAUUGAGAGCUCUUGUACACCUAUAUUGCUAGUGUUACCAAGUUCCAUACAUGGUGUAUUAGCCACAACUUUGUUACACGUAACAAGUGAAGUAUUUUUUACCAAAACCAGACCCACCAUUGUGUUAUUAAUUAGCACAAUAUUUUUCAUAUUUAGCCUUGUAUCAUUCGUUUCUCUUUUCCUCUUACCAAAUUUAGCCAAAUCACGACGAUCAUUUUUGGCUAUAUUUAAACUAGAAGGACUUACCUUCCUUAAUAUUUUGUUGUAUUUUAAAUUUGCUAACCCCUAUAUUCUCACCAUUGUCAAUAUUCUUUUCAUAAUUCUCAUAUAUAAUUAAUAUUGCUUUUGUUAAUUACCUCCAACAACUUGCUUUUUAGUCUUAUUCAUUUUUUUUCCUUUUGUAACCACAAUCCAUUCCCAAUACAAAUUAUCAUACACAUUAAUAUUAUAAUUAACAUCAUUAAUUACACUUAAAAUAUGGCAAUAAGUUUAGGGUGUGCAUGCUCAUCUAACAUCCCUUCCUGAUCACCACUAAACGCUAUAAUAUUCUUCAUGGUAGUUUCUCCUUUGGCUCAAAAGCAUUCUCUUGCUAUGUGACAAUACAUCAUCAUACAAUUACAAGAAAUCAAAUAGGUCUUCAUAUACUCCACGUGAAACCUGUGGUUUCAAAACCAUACACUACCCACCAUAGUAGGAUUAAGGUUAAUUUUUGCACAAUCUUGUGCAAACUUUCCUCUGAAAGUAUCAAUGGUUUGAAUAUCCAUUUUAACUGAUUUCCCAACUGUUGUGGUUAGGACCACGAGAACGCUUACAUCAUAGUAUUCUAUUCUCAAAUUGAAAAGUUGUAUCCAUAGCAUAUAUCGUACCAUUAAUGAGAACUUCAAAAUGACAUAAAAUUUGAAACCUAGAGUUUCACUGCAAGAUAAUGAUCGAAGAUCAUCCAUAAACUACACUAAUAAUCUUCUUUCUAUCCUCCCCAAAUGGAACUUCACCAUAUACAAACCAUUCCCAAUAUCCACCAAUUACAUAACCCAAUAGGCCUCCAUGUUGCUUUAAGCUUUUCCCUCAUAUACCAAAGAAACUAUAAUUCUACCCUAGCAGCUUAAUAAUAUUUGCAUCCCUCCAAGGCAACCACAACUCCUCCAGAAUACUCUUUUCAAUAUAGCAUCAUCGUUUUCAAAUGAUCCCCCUCCUUUUAUUCAAUCUUGAACAUAUUUUUGGCUAUCAAAUUCAUUAUGUCUCUCUUAAAAUGAAGCACUUGUUAUCCUAACACUUUACCUCCAAAAAAUAUUCUCUAAAUCCCACUCCUUCCACGUCCUCCUCCUCAUCUAGAAGGUAGGGAUAGCUCAAGAACUUAAGAAACCUAAAAUAAAUUUAUUUUUUGAGGUAUAUUAAUACUAAAAAAAAUUAUUAAAAUUUAUUUUUAAAUAUAAUUUUACAAUAAAUUUGUUUUGAGGUAUAUUAGUACUAAAAAAAAUUUUAGAAUCUUUUUUUUAGAGGCUUAAAGUCCUUGUUUGGGCUGCUUAGGCCUUAAGCCAGCCCUACUGAAGGUGCAGGGGAGGAGGAGCACCAUACAUUGCAUUUUCUCUAUUUUAAGUUUGAUUCUUACACUUUUCAUUAUUAAUGCACUUUAUUCUAACAUAUAAUAUAUUUUUUAAAAUAUAAAUAAAUACUGACUAUAGAUUACAUAUCCAUCAGUAUAUUUAUCUAAAAUUUUAUGCACACGAUCAUCAAAAUGUUACGAUAUUCUUUAAUAGUUGAAUUUCUUAUAAACUUUUUUAUUAAGAACAAUGAAUGUAAAAACUUGAUUAUAAAGUAAAUUGUUUCCUUCCCAUUAAAAAAUAUUUAUUUAUUAUAUAUUUUAAUUACAGAAAAAACUUUAAUCCGCUUAAAUACAAAGACUAAAAUACUAGUUUUCAACUAAAAAGCUAAAUUGACGUAAAAAAAAAUUUAAAAAAAAAUGAAGGAAACUCGGGUUUUUGCACAUAUACGUUUCUUUUCGGUUUCGUGGGAUUACGUUUUCUUGUGUUGAUAAAAAUUUAUAAAUUGGAGGAGACUUGCGCAGUUUAUGCCUUUCAUCGGUUCAGUGAAAAGGGGAUGCCUACUGCGCCCAUUGUCUCCUUCAACGACGCCAAAUAAAUACCUCAAAACGGUAACCCUCAUCUCUCCAUCUUCAUUACGAUCUUUUUUCGUUUUAAAUUAAUCUAUUUGAUUUUGCAUCAUUAACUUUGGUUGUGAUCUUUUUAUUUCACAUCAUUUUUCCAUGAAUUCUCAUUCUCUUCGUUGCUGGCUACACACAGAUUCGAUUUGAUAUUCUUUUGCCUAUUUGAUUGGUAUUUAUUAUUUCUGUAAAAUUGAGCACCGCACCAUUCAGUUCUGAAAUGUUUCUUUAAAUCAAGGACUUAGUACCGAUUAACUUUUCUGUAUGUAUGACGCACAUCAUUUGAAAACCUAAGAUGAUGCGAUAAAGCCAAUGACUUUAAAGGGAGUGAAAAAUAGUAGCUGUUAUAUUCUGUAAUGUGUGCUCUGACCUUGAGGCCAUAUACUAAUGAAAUAAAACCAUCUCUGGAGAGUUGAAUUGUAGGAACUUGUUUUGCACUGUUGAAAAUUUGAUUAUUGACAUGGAUAUGCUUUUGGGUCUCUCUUGAUUGGAGUAAUGCUGUAAUGGUUAUUUGCAUUGCAGAUACCUUGACAGAGUUGGGUAUUGAUAUUUGCAUUAAAGUUCAUAAUCUGGUGAAUUACUGCUAGGGGCAAGGCUCUGCCGUCAUUUGAGGGGUGCCCUGUGAAAGUUCCUGGGAUGAUGCGACGUGGUUCUGGUUUAGGUUCUGCUGCUUCUCACCGUUCUCGGGAGUCCCUUCCUCUUCCUCAGCUGUUGGAGAAUAAAAUUGCUGCUCAGGAAUCAGAAAUAGAGCAGCUUGUAAGUGAUAACCGUGGUCUGGCUAGUGGACAUGUGGCCUUAAGAGAGGCGCUUGUUGCUGCUGCGCAGGAUGUGCAAAAGCUGAAGUCACACAUUAGAAGCAUCCAGACUGAGAGUGACAUUCAGAUCAGAAUUCUAGUAGAUAAGAUUUCCAAAGGGGAGGUUGAUAUUAGGGCCAGUGAUAGUGUGAAGAAGGACCUACAAAAGGCCCAUAUUGAGGCGCAGAGCUUGGCAGCUUCCAGGCAGGAAGUGAGUGCCCAAAUUCAUCGAGCGACUCAGGAACUGAAGAAGGUCCAUGGUGAUGUCAAGAGUAUUCCGGAUUUGCAGGCUGAACUGGACAGUUUAUUGCAGGAGCACCAGAGGUUACGGUGAGUAUUGAAGUCUGUUGUAUGGCUAUUUCCACCUGCAUGUAAAUCAGAACUGGUACUGAACUCCUCAGGGUAUUUAGUUAAUGUUGUUACAGUAGGGUCUAAACUGGCUUUCUGGAAACUAGGUUUUUGAUAAAAACAUAUUGGCAUCGAUUGAUCUGUGUCAAUGUUAUUAAAUAACCGUUAUAGUGCUGCCAUAAUGCUAUAGCAUGCGUUUUUUCGACCUCUUUGCCAUAGGCAAUUUGUGAAGGGAGGCCUGCUAUAGUGGACCAUAGGCUGCAAUGGCAUGUUUAUAAUUUUAUAUGGUGGAAUUUUCGCCUUCCGCCAUAUUACGCCACCCGCCAUUGAAAAUCUUGAUCUAUGUAGCCAAUCCUGCAUCAUGGGAAAAGACUUUUAUUGUUGUUGAUAUAACAUAAGAAUGGCAUACAGUAACAUUCUAUAAGCCAAAGCUGCAUAUUUUAUACAUCCACUAAAAAAAAUAAGAUAUGAAAAAUGAAGAAACAAUCAUUGAAAUUUAUUUGUUGUUUUUUCCUCCAGCAAGUACUCCUCCAAUAGCUAAUUUUAGGAAGAACCCAAGCCAUGCUAACAAGAACUAUUCCUUUCAUUUCCCUAUGUUAAGUCUGUUUAGUUUGAGAAAAUGUUUUCUUUUUUCAUUUGCUUCCAUAAAUAAUUACAAAAAUGCCUCUUUAUUUUCUUUUCUUUUUGUUUCUUGUUUUCACUGUUCUUGUGCAUAUAUUUGAAAAUAGGAUGACAUUUGUAAAUAUUUAUCAUUACUAGAAAUGAAAAUAGAAAAUGUUUUCUCAAGUCUAACAAGGCAUAAACUUGAUAGGAUCUCAUUGCAUUCAAGAUAUGGCAUGUUAUCUUUGAAGUGGGUAGCACAAGUGACAUUAUAGUGCGAGUCACCUAUUGUAUUGUCAUUGGUAUAUAUAAGGCAAGACUGUCAUACAAUGGAAUGAAAAUUAGUUCAGAACUUGUGUGAUGGAUUCCUGAAUCAUGAGUAUUUACUGAAGCGUUUUCAACAUCUAUAAAACCAUGCUUUAAGUCAAGAUUUGCUGUGCCAUUAUAUGCCUAAAUUCUUAAAUAUUUGGUAUUCCUUCACAUCUUGUUGCAUAUUCUUUUUGUUGCAGUUUGUUCCUCUUAAUUACUAGUAUCUCUUUUUCUGGUAACUUCUCUAUUAAUUCUUUAAAUCUGGUUGGGUAAUAGUGGCACAUUUGAAUAUGAAAAGAACAAAAACAUAGAGCUAGUGGAUUACAUGAAAGCAAAAGAGAAGAAUCUGAUAGCGAUGGCAAGAGAAGUUGAAGUGUUACGAGCUGAGAUUUUAAAUGCUGAGAAAAGAGUAAAUGGUAGCUUUCUUGCUUCAGUGUGUCAUAGUCUGUUCAUGUGAUAUUUUUAUACAUAUAUGUUUCUGAUGCACUUUUGCUAUGUAAACAGCUCCUAAUCUGUUUGGGGCUGCUACCCCUGGACACAGCAGCGGUCCAUUUGCUGAUGUUUAUGGGAGAGUUCAUGGUCAGAUGGCUGCUGGCCAAGUAGGAGAGAGUAUGGUACCAGUUGGUGAAAGCAAUGGAGUAGCAGCCAUCAAUAGUGCUGGUGUUAGUGGUGCUCUUUGGUCGAGUCCAUAUGAUCCCUCAGUUGGUCGGAGGUGAAGUUUAAUAAUAGUUAAUCAGAUGGAGCUUGACUUCAGCUUUUGCCGGUAAAAUACAUGGGAACUGCUGGUUUUUCUACGUAAAUUUCACAGAUUGGGUGGUUUUAUCUCAAUAGUUAAUACAGUACAAUUUUGUGAAUUGUCGAACCUAAUCUGCAAAAUUGAAGAGGCCAAAGGUCUAUGUCUCAAACAAAACUAUUGGUAAAAUGAAUUGAAAGUCUGGUCUGACAUGACCUAUUUAAUGAGCUAUAUAAUACUGUUCUUAAGUGUAUAACCUAUAGAGGGCAAUCCUAUUUUUCAGAAUGCACAUGAAACAUGCUCACGUUUUGUUUUCCAUCCAAGAUGACGAACUGUUUGUAAAUCACUUUUCUUGCUGGCUACAAGUGAACUCAAAUUAUAUUUCCAAGUGCUGCCAUAAAACUCGUCUUUUUAGAUAAAUACUAGCUAGCAUUUAGAGAGAAAAAGUGUAGGCUAAGAUAGAUGUGAUGAACGUUAAAUAAUAAAAAAAAAAAGAUAGAUGUGAUGAAGAGAAAUAAAGAAAUAAAUAAUAUUGUAACAAAUGUUAAAUAAAAGUAUUGAAUGAAAAUUAUAACUUAGCUUUUUAAUGUUUGGUAUUUAACCAUUUGCAUUAGUAGAGGUCUGAAAAUCACCGCUCUAGGAGUUCAAUUUUCCUUUCGUAUGAGUUGGAUAUUAUCUCGAGUGAGAUGAUUUUCAUAAAUCGAGAAAAAUACCAGGUAAAAGAUCUACUAAAGGGGAAAAAACAAUAGCCACAUCAAUUCAAGAGUCGAGGUUGAUUUUGUCAUCAUCAUCUCGAGUAGACAUUGGGUUUUAUGUUCAUGUUUAGCAUUGCACCGUCAUUAUCGUUAAUGCUAGAAUCUUGACUAUUUUAAUCACCAUCCAUGCUAACUUUUCAUAUUCUUGGUCUUGUUUACCUACUGUGUCAAUAUGAAUUGAACAUGAACCUUCAACUUGUUAGUCAAGCAUGUAUCAUGUAGCACAUUGUAUACAGCAUCCGUUAAAUAUAUUGAAAAAUAAAGGAUAAAAAAAUUGUUUUUUAAUUAAAAUAUUUUCACUAUAAAGGGGUGUGAGUUUUCAAUCCAAGUCAAUUCAAUUGAAUUGAAUUGGAUUGGGUUAACCUUUUUUUAUUUUGCUAACUCAAUCUAACAUGGAUUAGAUUAGUUAUUGGGUUAGACCAUUAAAAAAUUGUCACUUUUUUAUGUCUUGAAAAAAAAUUUAAAAAAAAUCCUCAAGCCCAAAACAGUAAGGAUAUUUUUUUUGACAAAAUAAUAAGAAUAUUUUAAAAAUAGUAUUCACAGAAUAUUUACUAUUCAUAUGAUAAAACAAAAGAAAAAAUAAAACAAAUAUAUAUUUACAAUACCAUUUAUAAAACAAUGUAUUAUCUUAAAUAAACAAAAAAAAGAUAAACUCCAAAAUAAUGUAAUAUAUUAGGAUAAAUAAUGUAUUAACUUGAGAAUGAGGUGUGUUUAAUUUAGGAUUUCUAUAUUAGUAUUGCAUGCGAGUUGAAUUAAUUUUGAUUGGGUCCAAAACUAUAAACCCAUAACACAAUCUAAUUUUAACAAGGUUUGUUAAAGUAAAACCAUUUCAAUCCAAUAAUUUACUCCAAUUCACAAAAAUCUAAUUAGACUAGAUUGGAUUAAGCGAUUUGGUGAAUUAGCUCUAAUCAGCUUACACCCUUAAGUCACUGUAUACCAACAAGUGGUUGAUUUAAAUUUAAGUAGUACAUAUGUGAUUUUUCUUAAAUAAGGUCAAUAAUUUCUAAUAAGAAAAUUAAUAUUGUCAUAUAAUAAAUGUUCUCGACUCAAAAACAUAGUGGUCCAGCUGAGGAAUUCAAUUGGGUUUUAAUUGUUAUGCCCAUCAAUCAAAAUGUCUAAUUGGGCCUACUUUGAGGCCCACGCAAUCCACUCGUUACUAUUUGUUUAUAUUUUAUUUACUAUGAUGCGCUUUUCUUUCGUCCCAUUUGUUGAUCGAGUCUGACUCAUGGCGGAGGUAAGUUUCCAUUUUUCUCCGACUCUGAUUCUCAUCGCUGAAUAACGAACUCGACGAUUUCGUUCAAUUAAUCUCCGUUUUGAUUUUCUUUUGUUUUCUUAUUUUCGCCAUUCGAGAUUCCGAUUUGUUAUCUUUUUGAGGUGUAGCAUAUUAAUCUGUUAUUAAACUUAUAUUGUCUUUCCGAUCUAUCGAAUCAUUUUACCACUGGCUAUUUGUCCUUACAACAAGUGAGGAAGUGAAUUGAUUUUUCUCCCUCUACGUGAAAAGAGUAGCAUUUCCGGAUUUUAUAGAUUAGGGUGCUUGCUGGUUAAUAUUCUUACCGGGUUCAACCAUUCAAUUUUGAGGUUGUUGUUUUAGCCAAUGAUUGAGAUUAUUGAAGGGAAAAAAGCUAAAUUAUUGAAGAGAAAUAUAUUAACCUUGUUUGAUUGAUAGUUUUAGGUUAUACAGUUUAGUUAAUAUGUAGCCCUUUUUUAUGUUCAAAUACGUCUUUUAAAAGUUUGCAAUUGGGUUCCUAAUUCGUAUAGUUUUGAAAAAAAUAAAUUAGUUGGGUUCUAUCAUCUGAGCACUGAUAGUCAUUCACUGGUGAUUAGGAUUCAGGGAUCCCAAUCAAGGGAAUCACUUCCAAAUUUUAAACUAUAGGAUCCAGUUGCAAACUUUUGAAAUCUAUAUUGUUUUCAGAAAAAAAUGAUUGAGCACAUGAACCCAGCCUCUAAUGACAGGAGCAAGAAUCCAGUUAUACAUUCUUAAAAGUUAGAACUACAGGGACUUAAAAGUUAUACAUUCUUAAGGUCCCACCCAGUUACAAUAGAGACACCUAUUUGAACACCCCCCAAAAGUAAGGAUCUAGAAAUUUGAUUAGCCAUAGUUUUACCAGAGACACCUGUUUGAAGAUAUUCACAGAUAGUGUAUUCGUAUGUGUCUGCUUCCCUGAAGAAUUAUUUUGAAUUUUGUUUCCAAGAAUGUUUGCUUUCUAUUUCAAAUUUGUUACUCAUGAUUACAUUUUGUGUAUAUCUUAGUUAUUACACCCAAAUGCCAUGUGGCUAUGCAACUGCUUAUUUUUUUAGAUUCUGAUCCUGAUAUUUUGAGUUAGCUGUCGAAAGUUGUUUUCACUAUAAAUGGUGGUAUUGAACCCCCCCAUUAUGCAAUUUACAUAACAUUCUAAAUCAAGCUGUGAUCUGGUCUUUGUUGCCACUGGACAUUCAUUAUUCAUGCAAGUCAUUAUUUGUUCAUGAGUUGAGGAGGGUAUGGAUAAUAUAUUUGAGGGCAUGCUUAUCUUAAUUGCUUGAAACUAGAGGCCAGAUACAAAAUCACCCUCUAGUUUUUUGUUGUAUUAUAUUUUUGUUUUUUUUUUAAUUUGAAUUUUGAUGCAACAGGUUUGGUAUGUUCCUAUCUUCUGUAAAUCUGUAGAUUUUUUCUGCUAACGUAAUAUUUUGUUACUUCCUGCUAGAUUGAACUGAAAACUGCACCUGCUGAUUUUCGUUUUCCUACAACAAAUCAAACCAGACAUUGUUUCACUCGCUACAUAGAGUUUCACAGGUGGAUUUCCUGACAUUGGCUAUCUGGUUCUGUGAAAAUGUUAUCUAGAAUCUUUUACUUAAUAUUGAUUUUAAUUACAGAUGCUUGGCAGCAAAGGGUGAAAACUCUGGUGAAUGUGAGAGAUUUGCUAAAUAUUACCGCUCCCUUUGCCCGGGUGAAUGGGUAAGCAGCCCCUAGCUUAUUGGUUUAGUUGGAAUUGACUUCAUAUGUACUUUACUGUAUAACUUGAUGCCAUAGCCGAAGUUAAUGGGAUUUGUGGUGUUCAAUGGUUCAUGAGAUUGUGUUUUAUACAGUUAGGAACUAUUGUUUUCUUUUUGUUUUUGAUUGUGAUAGGAAUCAUUGAGUUCCCAAUGUCCUUUACUUAUUUACAGCAUUACUAAUCAAUGUUCUUACAAGCUAGUGUACAUCAUUUUAGUAGUUGUUUUCUAACAAUCUUUUGUGUUACUAUGUUGGUUUUGGUUUCUACUAUGUUAUUUUAUUUGUUAAUUGUUAACCCUUUGAAUCAAAGCUCUGUAAGAUUCAUUAUUUUCAUUUUUUAUGGCAAUUAAUAAUACUGAUAGAUGGCAUCCUGGACAUAUCAAAAGAAGAGUGGUUGGGUAAUUUUGCAUUUUUUGUAGAUGAAAGAAGUUGAGGCUUGUGAUUGAAGAAUAAACCCUGCAAUUCUGAUCUCCUAUAAAAACUAUCGCUUUAGACUUAGAUUCUCUGUUUCCUAGAAGGCUAGAACUAAUACAUGUGUGGGUCUGAAAACUGCCUAGAGGAUAAGAAUAUGGGACUCUUUUUUAGAUAAUAUCUCACAUAGACAUUUUGUAAUUCACGUGCUUGGAAGUUUGGGAUUUAGGUCUUCUAAAGUGGGAGGGUGUGUAUAUUAAGGAAGUAAGAGUGUAUCCACCUUAAUCCAAAUCAUGGAUGGAUAUUCUCUUUCUUAACAUGUUUUCUUACUUUAGAGGAGUCAAAUCUGGAGGUCUGAGACACAGUCUUCAAAACUAAUUUAAUUCAUUAUGAUUCUGAAGUCUGAACAAUCGCAUACAAAGAUGAACAACUGUGUACAUUUCAGAUAUGAUGAAUGUAAAUCAUGUUUAUUGGGUGGUUUAGUUUGUUUCAGAUGUAAGGCAUCCUUGCUUUAAAUGUUGCAAGCUUUUGGCAGGAAUAUAUGCAUUCUGUAUGUGUGUAGAUUCUCCACUGGUCUUUUUCCUAAGCAAGGAUUGCCUCGCAUACAUUGUUUAUUCAUCAAAAUGCCUGCUCUUCUACUUAAUGUCUGGGCAUUCCUAGAAUUGCUAAUAUAUUUUGCCCACUAGUGCAUAAAGCAAAUUAUGUGUCUAAUUUUGUCACAAAUUUGAAAGAUCGGUGUUAUACUACAUGAAGAACGUCACUUACCACACAAGGAUAGGCUAACCACUUUGCAAUACAACAGUAUCACUAAGUCAAAGUCAAACCACGACAACACAUUAUAUUGAUUUUUUUUUUUAUUCAGUAAUGUCCACUAGGUGGGUUAGCAUUUCUCUAUUUUAAAUUUUGUGUGGACUAAAUUGUGGCAGGUUGAAAGGUGGAAUGAACAGAGGGAGAGUGGGACUUUUCCAGGACCUCUUUGAAAUCAUGUGGCACUUGGAUAUCCUUCUGAGGCAUGAGAAGUCUUGAACAUUCUGUUGGCUCAUUUUCUUCAGUUGUUGAGCAAUUGUGAAUAAGGCAGUUUGUGGAUAUUCAUUACUUCACAAAUGGUUGAAGCCAUUUUGCUUUUGAAGUUGAUAUAAUUGUUCUGACUGUGGUAUUUUCUUUCUUCAGCAUUGAAUUGAAUAUUAAUUAGUAAACUCUAUCCCCACAACAAGCUACCCUACAAUGGAUUAAUUUUUCACUUCUCUUUAUUUUGGAAAACAACAAUUAAAAAAGGGGAAAAAGGAACUUGCGUGGAAGUUUUGUAAAACUACUCAGCAUUUUUUGAUACUGAAAUUGGUCAAACAUCUAAUGAGUCGUGGGGUUUCAUUUUUGUUGAAUCUAUUAAACAAAGUCUGACGAUUUUAGAAAGAGAUAUUACGUAGUCAUUUUUUAAACGAUUUGUAAAUUAUUAUUUUUUUAUGAUGUGGAUUUGGCUCAACUUCGUGUAACAAGUUUGAAAAUUGUCUUAAUAAAAAAAACAUAUUUACAAAUUGUUAAGUACUCGAAUUAUUAUUAUUAUUAUUAUUAUUAAUUUGUUGUUGUUGUUAUUAUUAUUAUUAUUAUUAUUGGAUACGAAUAUUAGAUAGUUACCGAUGUGUGUGAAUUUAUAAUUUUUACUAGAGAUUAUUGUCUGUAAUUUAUAUUAUUGUCUGCAAAUUAUAUUUUAAAAUACUUGACGUUUUGAGGAUACACAUCUGAGUCAAAGAACUUGUAGAAGGUAACCAACGGAACCUUUAAAAGAGUAAGUGGCAAUUACUGAAGGUCUGAAGCAUUAAAAAUCUCAAUUAGUGUUUUUUAUUCUUUAAAUUAUAUUAUUAGUGAUUUUUCAUCUUAACAAAGAAAUAACUCUUUAUGUUCAUUGAUGUAUUUCAUUUAGCAAGAGUUUCAUGAGUUGAAAAAAAAUAAUUUACCAAGGAUAUAGACAAUGAUAGAAAAAUUGGAAUACAUCUAGUUAAGUUUUGUUAAAACUAUAUUCACUUUAAUGUAAUAAAAUAUAUUGUUUUUAAUGAAAUUUUGUCUAUUUUUUUUUUUAUGAAAGGCGUGCUUGCAUUUUAAAUUAGGAAAGCACUAACUAGUACGAAAGUAAUUUCUUGCAUUUAUGCCUUUUUUCCGUACUAAAUAGCAAUCCUCUUUAAAUCAAUAUGUUUGAAAAGGAAAUCUAGUUCAAUUAAUGGAAUAGUGUGUAUGAAUUAUUAUAAAUUUAUUUUAAUUCUUUCCUUUGAAUGAUAAAUUAAUAUCCUUGAAAUAAUUAUUAGUAAAGUCCAUAAUUAAAAUAUUUGGACCUUUCGUGCAUUUUUUUUUGUGAACCUUUUCAUGCAGAUUUGAUUACACGUUUAAAAAUAUUUUGUGUGUCGAGUGUAAAGUUACUACCGAUAAUUUAAGCAUCUUUCUUUGAUUUAACGUAAAAAUAUAGAUACAUGUGUGUUGCAAAUGCCACUCUAGACAGUAGACACAGCUUCAUUUUCUUCAACCUUAUCCGGUAUUGUGUACAUGUUGUUCUCGUCUCGCUAAGUUAUAUCCAAUAUUAGUAGAUGCAAUAAUCAAUCAGUUGACUUUGCAAUAAUCGACUAGUUUUAUGAACAUAACCAAAAUCACUUCUAAUUUAAAUCUUAUAAAUAUGAAUGAAGUAGUAUAUGACGUUUUGAAAAAAAAAUGUUUCAAAUUACAGUAGUUGUCAUUUUAUAAAACCGAUAAAGUAUUAAAUGUUUUUUUCUUCAUGGAGUACCCUUAUUUGGAGUAAUUGUUUUUGUGUAAUAAAUUAUUUUUUUAAUUAAUUAGAAAGAUAGAAAAUAUUAUACUAAGAAGUUACAUAAUAAUCUAUAUGAAAUUUAAAAUAUUAACAAUAUUUUUAAUAUUUAUGUGAAAAUCUUAAAUAUCAUAUAAAAUGAAAUAGAAGAGUAUUAUAAUAUACUACAUAAUAUUAAGCUACUUCUUUCCUUUUUCUUUUCCAGCAAAAAAAAAGACUUAUAACUUAGCCUAUAUAAGCCGGCAUUUAUUGGUUGACAAUACACUAAUAGUAUAUAUUUAUUAAACUUUUUAAUUAUGUUGAAGAUAUUUAUUUAUAAUACUUUAGAACCAUAAAUCAAAUUAUUUUUAAAAUUUUAUAUUCUAUUUUCAACUCAUUUAUUGCUUUUAUCAUUAAUAUAAUUUUUUAUAAUAAUACUUAUAUUUUAUUAAAUUACCAAACAAGUAUAUAAUAAAAAAAUUAUAUUCAAACCAAUUAAAAUGUGAGUAAGGAAUCUGAAUCUAAAUAUAUAAAUAUUCAAUAGAUAAAAUUAUAGAAAUUACGAUUACUAUUUACCUAAGUAAUUGAACAUUCAUAAUUAAUCAUGACAUGUUUUCAGCCGUCACGAAGCAUCACAGAAAAAGCCAAGUGUCACCUCCUAUUAGCCUUCAAAGCCGGUGGCAGCACCACCUGCCUCUGCCUGCCAACAGGACAAUUGUCAAUUGCUGCCUUUACCACUUCCACUUCCUUCAAAAUAAUGAAUUUGUAGUAUCUUUUAAAGAAAACAAAAUCAAAUUAUUAAUAUUUUAACUAUUUACAUUUUACUGUAUUAUCCAUGUAAACCUAACGUUGAUUAUUUAUUUUAUCUUUUAAUGAUGUGUUUGGUCUAGAAAGAAAUAGCUUUCCUCUCCCGUUUCUCUCUUUUGACGGAGGAAGCUUUUUUGUUUGUUUGUAAAUCUCGUAAAAAAAUAUUUUUUUAUCUUAUUUUUUACUCAAAUAAAUAAAUAGUGAUAAUUUAAUAUUUUUAUCUUAUUUCCUUCCUCAUAUUUUAUUAUUAUUAUUGUUUUCAGUAAACCAAUCAAAGGCUAGAUGAGUCGAAAAUCAGAUCUUGCAUAGCAUUGACACUCAUGUUUGACGGCUUUCAAAGAACAAAUUUUAUUUGUAUUCAAAGAUAUAAGAUUUAUUUGGUGGUGAAAGAAGAAAAAAAGGAAGAUAAGUCAUAAGUUUCAAUUUUUUUAUCAAUAAAAAUUAACAAUACUAAUAACUAACUAAUGAUAAAAAAAAGCAUUCUAUUUGAAUUUUAUUUAAUCUGACUGCUUGAGAUUUUUCUCAAGGUUAUAAAUAUAUAAUAUAUUAGUAUUAUUUGCUUAAUUUAAUUGUUACCCAAUUCUUUAUGUGCAAUGGCAGUCCUAUGAGAUGGUACUUUCUCAAUUUAAUAAAAUUAUAAGUAUUUAUUUUAAAAUUUUAUUUUAUAUUUUUUAAUUUUAUGUGUUUGAAACUUAUUUUCACAUGAGAAUAAGUAAAUUUAUCUUUUUACUUUAAUAAAAUCAUAAAUAUUUAUGUUAAAAUUUAUAUUUUACAUUUCUUAUUUAUAUGUGUUUCAACUUAUUAUUAUUUUUCAUUCUUCUUAUAUCUUUAUUUAUUUAUCAUUAUAUACAUGAUAAUUAUUAUUAAAUUCAUUUUUAAAAUAAAUUAUUCUCACGUCCUAGAUCUGUCACUGUUUACAUGUUAUUAAUUCUGUAAUUUUUUUUAUCAUAAAAAAAUAAUCAAAUGCAAAAAGUAGAUAAAUAACAAGGAUGUGGUGGUGAAUGGUAGUGACUUCUAAUCUUCAAUCAUAAUGGUAGUAGGCAGAAUAGAUAUCGUGGAAGCCACGUAGGUGGUUUCGUGGUGAGUGAUUCGGUGACCCUAAGUUCUAAAACACCCUAACGGUCAACCCAUAGAUGAUGACUUGGGGCAAUUGGUAAGUAAAAUUUCUCCUAAAAAAUUUAAAUUAAUAAAUACAAGUAACAAGGAAUUGACCUGGUCCUGCGUGUUUGGUACAACCAGAAUAUAUAUUAAUAUCUUGCCAAUUAAUUCUCUAGUGAAGUGAUUUUUGUAAAGAAAUUGCAUUACUUUCGUACUUCUAUUGCCAAACGUGAAUGAAUUAGUUUCAUUAGCCAUUCAAUAAGCCAAAUGUAUAAAGACAUUGCAUUAUUUUUUCAAUGUAUGUUCCGAGGCAGUUGAAACUGGUGACCUAUUCUUCUUCAAUUUCUCUUUCUCAACUUUUGAAAAAGUUAUACUUUUUAAUACAAUCUUGGUAACUAUAAUUUCUUAAAUUAAAAACAUCAAAUACUAUUUUUUUAUACGUACUUUUUACUGUUGAUUCAUUGACUAUUAUUCUUAAAAAAUAGUUUGUAUUAUGAAGAGGUUAAAAAGGUAGCUAGUAAAACUGUUUUUAAUUUCGAGAAUAGGUCGCUUCCAUGUCUUUUAUAAUACUACUAAGUCGUAAAUUAUAUGAAUAUUUUUUAAUUUAUAUAUAUGAAAUAAAGUUGUUUAAAUUUAAGGGGGGAAAUAAAUUUAUAAAUUGAGCCCAACAAGCUUAAAAAUAUAAGAAAUUAAGAUGGAACAGACUCCUCUAAGAUGCAAUAUGUGCUUUAAAAAAUAAAAUGCCCAAACCAUGACCCUUAAUUAUAAUGAAUCUUUCAAAUUAUUACACCCCAUUAAAAAUUACCAUGUGAUAUUUACUUUUAAGAAAAUAAAAAUAUAUAUUUUUUAAAAAUGUAUCGUCCUCCUCUUUUUUUUGUUUUAAUAAAACAUGUUUAUUUUUAUUAAAAUUAAAACAAUUACAUGGCAGUUUAAAAUGAGAUGUAAUCAUCCAGAGCCUUCAUUGUUAUGAAGGUUAAGAUGUGUACACGUUACCCUUCAUUAAGAUAAGCAAUAACUUUAGUCUUAUCAUUUGUUAAAGCCGUAUCCGUCUUUGGAAGAUUAUGAUGGACUCUUUUCUUUCUCUCUUGAAGUAUUUUGUCACUCCAUUUUACCGCAUGACCAUAUCCAACCUCACAUCGUGUAUGAAUCAUCUUUCUUAUGCAACAUUCAUAUAUAUAACAAAUUUCUAAUUCACAAAACACUAUAUCCCUUGUAAUUAGAAAAACAACCAGCUCCAAGUCACACCCUUCAUUCUUUCUUUUUAUAAGAAUAACCUAUAAAAACACAUUCUUACUUUAACUAGCAAACUUAUUUCCUUUAUGACGUUGAUUAUUGCACAUAACACAAACACCCUAACACAUGAAUGAUGAAACGUAGGUUGCUCACCAUUUAACUACUCAACUAUCAAAAUAUAUUCCCAUUCAAUAAGAAAAUUUGUUUAAAGGUAUAAAGCUUGAGGCCUUGAGCCACUUUAAGUAUAUGUGUCAAUGCUUGCAUUCUACUUGGCAAUUUUGCUCUAGUGUCCCUAUAUAAGAUAUUUCAUGCACAAUACCAUGUUUCAAAAUAUAAUUAUUCACGCUCACAAAUUAUGCAUCAUUAUCAUUACACACAACUUUUACUUGUUUAUUAAAUUGACACCCUGCCAUAGCUAUAAAAUUGCGAAAAUUGUGUUGAAAAUUCUAUUUUAUCAACCACAAAAUAGAUCCACUAUUAUGACAAUAAUCAUCAACGAUGGAAAAGAAAAACAUCUUGCACCAUAAAAAAAAUGGAGAUCGAUUUGGACCCAAUAUGUCGCAAUAUGAAUUAACUGAAACACCUUAGUUGUUUUAUUUUCACUAAUAAUCUCUUGUUUGUUUUGCCCUGAGACAAACAUCAUAUGCUAAAUUACAUAUUAAAUUAGUAUUACUAUUAGAACCAACCUUAGGGAACAAUUCUACAACCUAAGAUGAAUACCCCAGCUGCUGUUGCCACAAAUCAGUGGAGCUAUCACCAUUUGUUUUGACAACUACUGUCACAGUCAUCCAUUGAAAAAAAAAAAAAAGGAAGCCUUAAUUUCUUAUUGCUCACAUGUGUUAAUCAAUCUUUAAAAUGUGGUCGUAAAUAGCAUAAAAUAUAUAAUUAAUUAUAUUUUUAAGUCCUAUAACUCUUUCAAAUUUUUACUUUUAGUCCCUGUGAUGAAUUUUAACUCUGUAAUUGUUUUUAGUUCCUAUGAUCAAAUAUCACCAUUAAACAAUGACUUGGCAUUAAUUUUAUUAUUAUUUUAUUAUAUUUAAUGGCGGUUCAUUUUUUUGGUUAUUAUAAGUCGCCAAAAAUUACUUUUCUAAAUAUUUAAAAUGAUUUAAAACAAUUUCUGUUAGUUUUUAAUCUCAAAAAAAUUGUUUUUGCCCCCUUUCAUCCAUCAAUCUAUGCAAGUCCAUAUCCAAAAUGAAAUCAGAUACGAAACACAAAUUCUGAUAAAUAAAAAAAAUCAGAUCCAGUAAUCAAACUUUGUAACCAAAGCACAAGUUGAAAGAGGAAAUCUCACCAAAGAAGAUUAACAAUUUCUUUUGACAAAUUAAUUAUCAACCAUAUUAAUAAAUAUCUUACUCUAAUAACAUGGUUUAAAAAUACCAAUAAAUACAAAUCAAAUUAACUUAAUUAUGAGAAAUAAAUUCAGUCUAAUUAUAGCGGUAAAUCAACCUAAUUAUAAAAUCCACACCUAAAUAUGGACAGUACAAUUAAUUACAAAAUCUGUUAAUUAUUCAAUAUAGUACAAUAUUUUUUUUAAUUAAACACGUUCGGAAUAUUUAUUUUUUAAAAAUUUUGAAACUAACUUUAUUCUUUUCCUACUUAGAAUUUGCCAAAUUUAAGAAAGCCCCCGGAGGAAGAGCCCAGAACAGAUACUAGUUUUUUUUAAAAAAAAACCACGUUUUAACCAAAUUAACCCGAAACCCUUUUCUUCCUUCCAACGGCGAAAUCGCGUUACCGUGGCGUGUGCAAUAAUAUCUCAAAAUAUUGUCAACAGUUACAACUCACAACAAACACCACGCGCAUAUGAACUAUAUAUUUAUACACGCGCAUAUGGAUACAGUCUCAUAUAACAAUCAUUCUUUCUCAAAACACUUGCUCCAUUAUUAUUUUCUCAUUCAUUCGUUCAUCAUGGUUCGGUUCAGCAACAACGUGAUCGGACUCCUGAACUUCCUGACCUUCCUCCUCUCCAUCCCGAUCCUGGUGGCCGGAGUGUGGCUGAGCAAGCAGGGCGCCACCGAGUGCGAGCGGUGGCUGGAGAAGCCGGUGAUCGCACUCGGCGUCUUCCUCAUGCUCGUCUCACUCGCCGGCCUCGUCGGCGCGUGCUGUCGCGUGUCGUGGCUCCUCUGGCUCUACCUCCUCGUCAUGUUCGUCCUCAUCGUUCUUCUCUUCGCCUUCACCAUCUUCGCCUUCGUUGUCACCAACAAGGGCGCUGGCGAAGUUGUGUCUAAUAGAGGGUAUAAGGAGUAUAGGCUUGGGGAUUACUCGAACUGGUUGCAGAAGAGGGUUAACAACACUAAGACGUGGAACAGGAUCAGGAGUUGCUUGCAAUCUGGGAAAGUCUGCACUGAGUUUCAAUCCAAGUUUCUAAACGACACCGUUACUGAGUUUUACUCCGAAAACCUGUCCGCGCUUCAGGUUUCUUUCUUUCUUCUUAAUUUUCCUUUGUUUGACUUGAUUCCUUUUCUGGGUUGUUGUCAAAAUUUGAGCUUGUUCGUGGACGAUCUGGUUUUCGAUCGAUAUCCUGUUUUGUUUACUUUUUCCUUGUGGGGUUGCUUCACAAUGAAAAAAACUUAAUCAUAGUUUAGGGUUUUCUUUUUUAGAAAAAAAAAUAUUGUUGGCUAGGAAUUGGAGAUUUAAUGUUUUACUCCUCAUUAAAAGUGAGUAUAAGUUACAUAUAAAACUUCAAUUCUAAUUAAAUGGUUAUAAAAAACAACUAAAGAAAUUGUUCAGAAUUCGUAUCUUGAAAAUUUGGUUGCCUUAAUCAUUAGAUCAUAAACUUUUGGUUGUUGAGGUGUAUAUUGAGGGUUUUUUCAAUUAAAAUUGAAGUUUCAGCUUCCUUGUUUGAGAAUUUUAAUUUUAAUUGAACAAGGACAAUAAAAAUAAAAAUAAAAAUAUUUGCAAGUAGCUUUUGUUUCUUGAAAUUUGGUUGUCUUAUUAGACCAUAAGCUUUCGGUUGAAUUUAUGUUUUUGCUUGAAAUUGAAGAACGGUUAUGAUGAUGGUAUAUGUGCCCUUUGGCCCACCCCCUUUAAGUUUUUUUGUCUCCUUUCUCUCGAACGCGAGUUUCAAUUCGAGUUGUUUUCUGGAAAAAAGUGAACUUUCGUCAGAUCAACUUUGUGAGAUACUACUGGUAUUUUAUAGUAGUAGUAGAGUAGUCAAGGCUGGUGCUUUUUGAAAGGGAGGUCUUUUAAACUGGGAUAGGCUUCCAUCUGAAAAGGCUGUGAUCUUUUACUUUUUAUUCCCAAUGUAUUUUUUGUCGGACUUUUUAGCAUUCUUGUAUUUACUAGUAAUUUUUUAAUAGGACUGAACGAUGCUAGUGCUGCUGCCUGGGCUAAAAGUUGCGUACUUUUUACAUUUUUCUCUUAAAAACCUGCAUGAUUUAGCGUGCACUUCUCUUGUUAUUUUAAGAUCAUCUAUAAUGAGAAUCAAUUAAUUAAUGAACUUAACCAAAAAAAUUAUUAUUUUGAUAUGUGCGAUUUUGAGUCUCUUUAAGAAAAAGUUGUUUAUAUCAACAAUUUUGACUCAUGAUUUACUUAAUUUCCUAUUAAAUAUAGGAGAGAGAAACAAUUGAGUUAGUUAAUAGAAAUUUUUAUUAGAGAGAAAAUUCAUUAACCUGUUUAAGAUGGACGCGACAUGAAUUAAGUUACUUGCAUAAAAACCCAAGAAGAUGCUCUAAGGUGUGAAUGAUACAACUUAAAAGUGAAGUUUUUAUGUGCCCAUUCUUCCACCAAGAGCAUCCACCCUUGAAUUUAUUUGGGUCUAACAGUGGGAUCCACCUAGUUGGUGGCAUCACAUGGUCAAAAUUUUAUUGGUGAAGGAAAAUAUUUGCCUUAAAGGACAUAAGAAUUGUCCAAAAUGAGAUAUUCUUAAGGAAAAUGUUUCAUGAAUAUCCAGUAUACUAUUUAAUACCUUUAACAACUAGAAAGAGUAAAAAAAGAAGAAAAAUAAGAAGAGAAAUAGAGAGAUAUUGAUGAAUGUAUAAAAUUAUGAAUGAUUCAUAUAUUACUAGGAUGUUCUUACACGAUAGUAUUGAUAUACUGUUAUACAAUGUACAGGAUUUAUUUGUUUAAUCAUAAUAAGUGCAAAUUAUUGUGACUGCUUUACUUAAUGGAUUGAAUUUCAUUGUGACACACAAUAUGUUAUGCUUAAUUUUGGACACCUUGUGGAUUUUGCAUUAAUUUGUUGGAUGUUUUGUGCAGUCUGGAUGCUGUAAACCUGCAGAAGAAUGCCAGUUUAGCUAUGUGAAUCCAACGACAUGGACGAAGCCCACAAAUGUGACUAAUCAGAGCAACCCAGAUUGUGAUGCUUGGAAUAACGAUCCAACAGUUCUGUGCUUCAAUUGCCAAUCAUGCAAGGCUGGCUUACUGCAAAACCUCAAGACUGAUUGGAAGAGGGUGGCUGUUGUUAACAUCGUAUUCCUUGUCUUCCUCAUUAUUGUCUACUCCAUAGGGUGCUGUGCAUUCAGGAACAAUAGGAGGGAAAAUUGGAAGGGUUAUUCUCGUUAGCUAAGAUUACUCAGUAUUAUUACUAGUGUGUAGAUGAGUUUGCUAGACAAUCUGGUUUAUAUGGUGGAUUUUUAUUUUUUAUUUUUUUAUGGGCUUUAUGUGUAUGAGCUGUUUUCAGUAGACAGUCUGUUAUCUAAAUUGCUCAAUUUUAUAUAGCAGUUUCCUAGUAUCAUCUAUACGUAAAUAUUACUUCUGGACACACUGCAUUCCCUUCGAAUUCAACGUCUACCCUCUAUAAAUUUCUUCAAUCGAAAUCGUAGGGUGUGUUUGGUUUGCAUUUCUAUUUUCUGUUUUUAUUUUUUGAAAAUGAAAAAAAAAAUAGUCAAACCAAACAUCAUUUUAGUAAAAAAAUGAAAACAAAAAACAGUCAAACCAAACAUCAUCUUAGUAUUUUGUCCGGUGCUGAAUAAUCACCCCACAUCAUUGACGGUCUAAGAGAAUUUUGUUUAGUUUAAAUCCCAUUAAUUUAUACUGCAUUCGAAUUUUAUAAGUUUUUUAAACUAAUGAAGUUUUUCUUUUCUUUUUUAAAAUUGUAGAAAUUCGGUCUCUCGUUCUUUUUAUUUAUUUAUCUAAGACUUGUAAGUUUUUGUUUUCUACUUAUUUUUUUUAUAGAUUGAAUAGAUUAAAUUGUUUUUAAUUAAAAAUCAUUAACCAAAAUAUCAACUCAAAAUAAAAUAAAAAAUCUCAAAAUUUCUUCAUUCAAAAUCCUAAUUUCAUAUCUUAUAAUUUUGUUAAUGUUUAUUUAAGUUUUCAUUUUUUCUAAAUUUUACAAUUAUUUUAUAUUUUAAUUCUAUCAUAAAGUAUUUGGAUAAAAAAAAUUAAUGAUAGAUAAGACUAAUAGCAUGCUUGGUCUACUAGACUUGAGUUGAGUGAGAAAUAAAUUUUCUUAUUAUUAUGGUUUAUUUUUUCAUUCUUUGACGAGAAUUUGCUAAUAGACGAAUGUAUCUAAUAGUCUCUAUUUCACUCUUUUCAACACUUUUUGUAAUCGACUGAAAUUUGUCAAAAAUUACUAAUUUUGGUGGAAUAAAUUAUAUUUUUUCUUAUAUUUAAAAUUUAAUUUAAAAAUAAAAAUGAAAGGAUACAUUAAAAAUAAAUAAAUUGUCAAGAAAAAUCCUUUAAAACUCACUCCUUGAAGAAAAAAAAUAGCUAUUUUAAUUUUUAUAUAUAUAUAUAGAGAGAGAGAGAUUAUGUUGAAUUUUUUAAUAAAUAUAUUUAUUUAAUUAUAAGUAUAAUUAUUAUUUUAACUAACAAUUAUAAUUUUACCCUUUAUCUAUGAAAGUAAUAAAUAAUUCUAAGUAAAGUUUAAAUAUUUAUUUAAUAAAUGGUAUUAAAUUUCUGUUGUAUUUUUAAAAUAAAAAAUAUUUAAUUUUUAAUGAAUAUUAAGAAAAUAUUGUAAAACAAUUUAAAACUAUUCCACUAAUAGAUCUUCAAAUGAGUAAAAAAUAACCAGUGUGGUAACUGGUAAAGGAAGAUAUAGAUUAAACGGUGUGUUCUUUUUCUAUUUUUCCUUUUUUUUUUCUUCAGCGGGUGUGUGUUCUUAAUCUUCCGUGUAUUAUGUUUUUGCUUUACACGUAAAAGAAAUGUAUUCUUUUGUAAAUCUUCUUUCUAUUUUAUAAGGAAAAUAAGUGUAAUUAAUAUUUAUCACAUAGAAAAAGUAGAAUAAUUAGCAAAAAAAUAUUUUAAUUUUUUUAAAAUUGUUAUACACAUAAAUGGACCAGAGAAAUUGAAAUGCAAAUAUGAUCUGUGACUGCACCACGUGUUUGGUGAUAAAUUGUACUUAAUCUAUCCAGCUUUAUCGAAUAAAUGAGUACAAUAGUUUUAUUUCUUUUUUGCUACAAUAGCUAGCUAACAACAAUCAAAUCAAAAUUUAAGACUUCAUACGGAUAAGAAAAAAAUUGAAUAGAAACUUGGAUGUAUUAUUAAGGUAAAUUUCAAUUCUGUACAUAAAAACAAAUAGCUUUUGCAAUCUGGUGGGGAUAAUCCUCUAACCAGUACAUUUAUUUUGAUUGUAUAGCAAACUUUACUAACCUAUCAUGUUUCCAGUUUUUUUUUGUGAAUGAAUGAGGAAUCACAUAUGGAAAAGUGGGAUUUCAUACUCUUUCAAGUUUGCAAUCCAUCAUCAAAAUGAGAAACACAUCUGGGCCGCCACAAUCAAGGCCCAUUUCCUCAUCAACAUUUGACUUGUAAUGAAAUGGUCCUAACUCCUCUUCAUCAUUAAAAUAACCUUGAUGAGUUUGUGUUAACGCAGCUAAUUACUCUUGAGGACGUAAAUGAGUCAAAGUUAAGUAAAGCUCAUCAGACUUUAUUUGUGAAAAAAAAUUGAACUCAAUUUUAACUCAUUUAUUUAAUCAAAUCUAAUAGAAAAUUUGGAUUUGACUUGCUAAGAAAUAUUAAGUUUGAGUUUGACUUUUUACUUUUUUUUAUAACUUAAUAAUUUGCUUUUUAUGAAAUUUUUCUUAAUGUGUUUUCAACUUUAUCAAAAAAAUAUUUAAUAAUUAUUUUAAUACUAGAUAAUUAUCUACUGAUAGUAAAAUGAAUUUAACAUGUGAUAAGUAAAAUUUAAAAAAUAUACUAAAUAAUUAAUUUAACGAUUUUCUAAGAGGCAAAAUUAUUUUCAUAAAAAAUACCAUUUAUGUAAUAUAUAUAUAUAUAUAUAUAUAUAUAUAUAUAUAAAGCGACUUAUUCACUUCACACGUUGCCCAGGAGCAUGCANNNNNNNNNNNNNNNNNNNNNNNNNNNNNNNNNNNNNNNNNNNNNNNNNNNNNNNNNNNNNNNNNNNNNNNNNNNNNNNNNNNNNNNNNNNNNNNNNNNNNNNNNNNNNNNNNNNNNNNNNNNNNNNNNNNNNNNNNNNNNNNNNNNNNNNNNNNNNNNNNNNNNNNNNNNNNNNNNNNNNNNNNNNNNNNNNNNNNNNNNNNNNNNNNNNNNNNNNNNNNNNNNNNNNNNNNNNNNNNNNNNNNNNNNNNNNNNNNNNNNNNNNNNNNNNNNNNNNNNNNNNNNNNNNNNNNNNNNNNNNNNNNNNNNNNNNNNNNNNNNNNNNNNNNNNNNNNNNNNNNNNNNNNNNNNNNNNNNNNNNNNNNNNNNNNNNNNNNNNNNNNNNNNNNNNNNNNNNNNNNNNNNNNNNNNNNNNNNNNNNNNNNNNNNNNNNNNNNNNNNNNNNNNNNNNNNNNNNNNNNNNNNNNNNNNNNNNNNNNNNNNNNNNNNNNNNNNNNNNNNNNNNNNNNNNNNNNNNNNNNNNNNNNNNNNNNNNNNNNNNNNNNNNNNNNNNNNNNNNNNNNNNNNNNNNNNNNNNNNNNNNNNNNNNNNNNNNNNNNNNNNNNNNNNNNNNNNNNNNNNNNNNNNNNNNNNNNNNNNNNNNNNNNNNNNNNNNNNNNNNNNNNNNNNNNNNNNNNNNNNNNNNNNNNNNNNNNNNNNNNNNNNNNNNNNNNNNNNNNNNNNNNNNNNNNNNNNNNNNNNNNNNNNNNNNNNNNNNNNNNNNNNNNNNNNNNNNNNNNNNNNNNNNNNNNNNNNNNNNNNNNNNNNNNNNNNNNNNNNNNNNNNNNNNNNNNNNNNNNNNNNNNNNNNNNNNNNNNNNNNNNNNNNNNNNNNNNNNNNNNNNNNNNNNNNNUACUCAAGGACUUGAACUCAAAACUAUUUAAUUAAAUUAAAAUAUUCUUGUACUAGUUAAUCUACACGUUUGAUGGAUAUAAUAGUUAUAGCUAAGUUAGCUAAGUUUACUUAUAUUUCUUUUUCUUUCUUGUUUUUUCUUAUUAAGCAUGACCUCUGGUCUUAUUUAUAAGAAUCAAAUAAAAGUGAUUAAAUUGGUUAAUUUGUUAUAAAUUUUAAUUUUAUUUUAAGAUUACCCAUGACAUUAAAUGAUUUAAGAUGUGAUUUUUUUUUUCAAAUUAAAAGACAAUUUUUUCAAUUAAAGAGUAUAUCUUGUUUUUGUUUAUAACUCAAUAAAUGCACUAUCUUUCAUGGAAAAAUGAGUUUAUGUCAUUGAUAGACCUCAUAAUUAAUUCGGAAUAAAAAAAAUUAACAAGAAAUAAGUAAUCAUAUAUUUCUUAUAAUUAGGACAACAUUAUUAAGAAAAUUGUGCAUUAAUCAUUCUUCUAUUCUUGUAUUGUGUCUUAAGCAUUCUUUGGAUUCAAAUCUCUUGUUUCAUAUUUGUGUCCCAUCCUUUAUGCCACCAAUCAAAUUUUGACAUGUCACUUUGACAAAGAUGGAAUACAAAUAGGAGUUAAGAGAUUUAAAUCUGCAUUCUUUUAUUCUUGUACCAAUGAUUAUUUUAUUGACUCAUUCCUAUUGCCAAAAUUUGUAUUCAUUUCAAAUGAAAUUGUAUCCCGAUGAUUUUUUUCCUCCUUUUAAUGAAGAUGGUUCUCAUUUUGAAUUCAACGAAUUUCUUUUGAGUUUUGUGAUCUUAAUAAAGUUUAAAUAAUAAUAGAGUUUAUUGAAUUUGUUUUAUAAUUUUUCAUUUUAAAAAUAUUCUUUAAACAUUAAAAGGAUUUUUUUAACCAUAGUAAGUAGAGUCUUUUGUUCUCUGGUGAGAUUUUGAGAUAUUUCGCUAGCUUCGUUCAUCUAGGUUGAUUAGUCUAAAACUUAGUUAUAUUUUUCUCUCUUUAAGAGAAGGGACAAACUUAAACUAUUUGAGGGUGAGCAAAUGGAUUCUCUUAUUUUAAUAAAUUUACAUUUAUUUUCUUAAAAUUUAAUACUUUGCACCCCUAAUUUUAUGUGUUGGAAUUCCAUUACUUAUUCUCAUAUGAGAGUACACAAAAUAUACCUCCUUAUUUUAAUAAAAUCAUGAAUAUUUUUCAUAAAAUUUUAUAUUUUACACUUCUUAUGUUUACGUAUUUGAAUCACUUUUUCAUUUUAUGUGUCAGAUUUAUUUUUAAAAAUAGUUUACCUUCACUAACAUUAGAUCUUAGAAUGGUCACCGCUUAAAAGUGUAUCUUGUGGAUCGAAACGUUAAAAGAUAUGUGAAACUUGAAGAAAAUUUAACAAGGGCUUGUGUAAUUUUUCGUUGCAUAAUUUUUUAUUUAUUUUCUCAUAUAGGAUAUUUAUUUAAAUUUUAAAAAUGAAUAAGUGGUUUGCAAUAUCUAUGAUGAAAAUAAAACACAAACAUGAGGGAAACAAUUUACAGGAAAAAUAAUAAUAAUACGAGCUCAGCACUCCUAAUUUUCCCAGCAUAAUCGGAAUAACGGAUGUAAGAAAACGAGAUGGAAGGAAACAAAAUUUAAUUCAUAUCUUUUUUUCUCCUAAAACAUAUUAUCACUCUUACAUAAUUACCAUUAGUCCAGGCCAUGAGCUUGAAUUUAUUUUCACACUCUAUUCGUUAGAAAUUUUGGUGAAAGAAAUUAAGCCAAAUUUGUUUAAGCUGCAACUUGUUCCAUGUUUCAGUUUCUUCAAUUCUGAAAUGAUCAAAACUUCACCAAAACUUCUAUUUGUUUAAUCAUCAUGGCUACACCUUGCUAUCUGCUUCUGUUGCAUGUUCAGACAAUUUCUCUGAUAGAAGGGGUUGUUCCAAAUCUAUCCUACUACUUAUCUCAUCAUCUAGUAAGUUUGAUGAUUGUGGUGCCUCUGGUUUAAUCUCAGCAAACUCUUUGGCUUUACCCCAAAGCACAACAUAUAAACCGGCAAUAACUCCAACAGCCCCUACCAAACUGAAAAUGAAUCACGCAUAUGAAUUAUGAUCAGGCCACACAUAUAAUACUAAUAAUAAUAAUGAUGUUUGAGUUUCUUCAUGAAUAGAUAAAAGGUACGUAGAAAAAUAAUACUAGUAGUGUAUUAAUUACCUUCCAACGUACACCUCUUCCUCUAGGAAAGUUGCACUUAUCAAAGCAGUGAUGACUGUUGCCAAAGGGUUGAACAUUGCACAGUACAGGGGACCUCUUUCUGAGAUGCACCAGGAUUGAAUGAAGAAGCUAACCGCUAUUCCGAUUCCCUAUUUCAUAAAAUUAAUAAUAAGAAUAACAAUAAUACAAGUUGCUAAUUAACAGUGUCGGUAUUGUACUACACAACAAAUGAUUACUAAUUGAACUUUUGCCGAGUGGCUUGGAACUUACUGCAUAUAAAGAACAUGAAAUCUGUAAAGGUGAUUGCAAAAUCCAUGCUUGAAGAUCCGACUCUGAAAGCAGGGCAAAUAGGGCAGCCUGUAUUGUUGAAAACAGACACAUCCAAAAGGUUGAUAAUAAAUGGUCUGGGCAGCACGAAGUGAUUGGUACCUGUUGAGUUGAACUUGUGUCAGAUCCACUCAUGGAGAAAGGAAUCAUCCUAGAAUAUUCUACUUUUUAUGGAAAGUGAUAAUCUUGUACUCCAGCUUUACCAAAAAAAAUAAAAUAAAAUUAUUUAGUAGUCCGAGAAAGUUACCCUACUACUUAGGAUCAUUAGAGAUUAGUUUUAUUUUUUGGAUCACCACUCAUGAUGCAAAGUAUCCAUAUGCUUUGCAAAUCAGAGAAUCUUAUUGAGUAUGUAGAGUUUUUUUUUUCAAUCAUAAUUUUUUGAUUUAUAAAAUUUGAAUUAAUAUUUUACUUAAAAAUUAAAUUAGAUCCAUUCAGAUCAACCACUUGUUGUUGGUCAUUAGAUAUUUGUUUGAAUUAUAAUUAUGUGAUAAUUUCAUAUGACAUAAUAAAUUUUCUAUUCAUCGAUUGUAUCAAAGGAAGGAUGAGAAAAUAAAUCGGCUUUUAUUUACCUGCAGGAUCAUCCAACAUGACCAAAAAACACUGCUUGCUAAGAGCAAUAGGCAACCCAGCAGCCAAUCAUCACCUUGACUGCCGGUGAGAUGUAUAGAAGGAAGGAACUCCGUGUGUAACAGCUUCUGUCCUUUGACCAAUGCCAUGGUUAAGGCUCCAGCCACGCAACAAACUGUCCCUAAUAUCUUGGCCGUGCUUCUUAAGCUUAUGUCAACUUUCUCAAAUCUGACUCAUUAAAUUUUAAGGAAACCCGUAUCAGCAAAAGAAUAUGAUUUAUUUUUAUACUGUUAAUUAAUUAUAUUCUAUUUUAGCUUAAGUAAUUAUGUUUUGAUUCCUUUUUUUCUUGUCGUACUUUGUAAUUGCAUGUAUAUCCUUAGAGUCAUUACCCCGCAAUUGCUGCAAUUACAAACGUUAAUGCCGGUAUCAGAUUACUCAUAGCGGUAGCUGCAGUAGAAGAUGCAUAAAAUAAUCCUUUGAAGUAUGCAUUCUGAUUUGCCGUGACUCUGCAAGGAAAAAAUAAAAAAAAUUAAGGGUAAGUUUUAAAAUUUUCUCUUUGGUAUAAAUUCAACAGCAUGUUACAAGUGAGUUUGGCAGAGUAGUGUACCCAACAAGAGCGGUCACAAACAUCAAAAAGAAGCUCCUGAAUCCCAAAGAAUCUUUCACUGAUUGUCUCCUGUUAUCAAAAGUAAGCAUGUAUAUGUGAGUUAGUGAAAGAAGAUGAGACUAAGCUAUAAAAAGAGGAGAAAGUGGUUUAAUUAUUACCUCUUAGGAGAGAAAAAUAUAGGCGCCAAAGCCAAAGUGGCUAUGCCUUGCCUGUAUACUACAAACACCGUUGUACUCAACCCAUCUAAGAGAGCGGCUCUUGUGAAUAUGGCAAGUGCUGCAUAAUGAAUUUGCAGACCUAUCAUAACAAUUAGAGGAAGAUUGCUAGCCAAACCAGCCAUUUUUUUUAGAUGGAGCCUAAAGUUGAAAUCCUUUGACACCUUCUAUUACAUAUAUGAAGAGGAAGAGAAGGGGGUAGAUCUAUUUAUAUCAAGACAAACUCAAUUUGUAAUCCACUUUUCUAUAAAUUUAUCAUUAUUAACAGAGAAAAAAAAUUGUUUAAAAUAAGAUGAGUAAGGUAAUGAUUUUUUUCCUAUAAGAGAAAUGUUAGUAACGCCUCUUUUAUUUCUGACCCUCUUUCAUAAAUAUCUUUUUGGAGACAGCUCAAUUUGAAAUAUUAUUAUACAUUUUCUUGAUGAGUAAUAAAUAUCCUUAUAAAAUAUUGUAAUACAUUAAAUACAAGAUUUGAAUCUUCUGACUAAUGCAUUGCUCUGUAGGAAACUAAUCCUUUUUACUAGAUUGUUGAUAUGUAAUAAGAUAUAAAAAAAUGAAUUAAAAAUAUUAUUCAAAAAUAUAUUUAAGAAUAAUAUUUUUUUUACAUUAAUGCAGGUCAAAAUCAAACUUAUACUAUUAAAUAGCUUUUUACCAAGAAAUUCAACCUGAAAACUUAUUGAUAAUUUGAAGUUAAUUUAAUAAUUUCUACCAUACAUAUCAUAUCUAAUUAAUAAAGACAAAUGCCAAAGAUAAGUAUGCCUCAAUUACUACCGUUAAACAUUCAAAGAACUGAACAACUUGUAGCCCCAAAACAACAAAUAAAAAUACAGAGUCGACAAGAUAGACAAAUUAAUGAAGAGGGACACAUCCACGUUGGUGAAUAGGUACCAAAGAUAAGGCUAUCAUUUGAAGGAUACGCGGAGAUUAGAGAUCAUGGAAAGAUGAAAUACACCUAUACACGUUUAAAGAAAUUAAUAUAUAUAUAUAUAUAUAUAUAUAUAUAUAUAUAUAUAUAUAUAUAUAUAUAUAUAUAUAUAUAUAUAUAUAUAUAUAUAUAUAUAUAUAUACGAAGCUUCUAGUAAGAAAACAAUAAUUCGAUAAAAUGUAUGAUGCUGAAUCAUUUAUGUUUUGGCAGCCUUAGAAAAUAUAAUGGCAUUUCCUACAUAAAAAGGUUAGGUGAAUAAUGCCAAUUGCCAUGUGGCACAAGGGACAAAGUCCAAUCAGUCUCAUUAGGAAGAUAGGAUGUCCACGGCAGUGCUGGCAAAGUCAAAAAUUAUUGGACGGACAGUCCACUGCAACAUCUCAAGAAUUCAUGUUAAUCUUUGAUUCAUAUACAUUUUUCCAUUUUUUUAUAAUUAAUUUGUUUUUCAAUUAUAUUUCAUUUUCAAUCUUUGUCUUUUCCUUAAGCGGUGGCAGUUUUUAGCGUACGACUCCAUCAAAUUCAGACGAAAAGAAAGAAAAUUAACAUUUAAAAAAUUAAGGGAUAUACUCAGAUUGGUUUUGAUGUAAUGGCCAUAAUAAAAAAGGUGCAAUUAUUUGCAUAGUAACAAAUCCUGACUGCUAGAGAUAAACGAAAGGAAUCUACUUUGAAGAUUCCAGUGACUUGUGUAAUCAUCAAUAUUUAGUGCUCCCUCUAAUUUUAUAUAAUUUUUGUAUGAUGACAUAUAUAAUAAAAAAUAUAAAAAGUGAAAAGUGAAAAGUGAAAACUAUAUUUAUAUAAUUUCUGUACAAUGACAUAUAUAAUAAAAAAAUAAAAAAGUGAUAAGAGAACAAACGGAUGAGACCAUUGACAUGUAAAUAAAGAAAAAAUAACAUAUUGAUAUAUUAUAAAAAAAGUAUUACAGUAUAUUCCAAGUCACUAUUAGAUGUUACACGUUCAUUACACAUGAAAUGUCAGACAGAAGACAAUGAGAUCAGUUGUUCACGGGUAAACUCUUGGCAACCUGCACCUAAAAAGAUCAAAUGGGUGCACAUGCCAAAAGCGUUGUUGUUUUGUAGAGUUGUAGUAUA